Cottoperca gobio is the source of this 1210-nucleotide long non-coding RNA. RefSeq lists it as uncharacterized. The record is from RefSeq and is a predicted model, not a curated record. The transcript is spliced from 2 exons. NCBI's taxonomy places the organism in Eukaryota, Metazoa, Chordata, Actinopteri, Perciformes, Bovichtidae.
GGGACGACCUGCAUUUUCCAAAAGGGAGAAUUAACUCAUCUGUUCUGUGACCGCCUCAAGCCAUGGAUGAGGAUUCUGUGCUGGAGACCACUAUGUGAAGAUCAGACAGCGAGUUAUGACAGACUUAGGCGUAGCCUUAAGAUAUGACAGUUCUCCAGUUUUAAAUGAGGCAGAGACACUCGUAUAUGGGAGCAUCUGUGCAAAUAGAAGUAUUUCAAAAUGCAGGUGACAAGCAGGCUGCUGUAUCUGUGUGUGUGUGUGUGUGUGUGUGUGUGUGUGUGUGUGUGUGUGUGUGUGUGUGUGUGUGUGUGCAAAGGUAGGAUGUUCUUGGUGGUGUAGAAAGUGCAUGUGCUUGUGUGUCAGUGCAUAUGAUCACUUUAUGUGUGCAUGUAUGUGUGUGCUUCUAAGUCCCAGAAAGGAAACAAGAUUUUUAAAAGAAAGAAACUCAGAUGAGAUCAGACGUGUCAGGCGUGCAUGGCAGAAGGAUUUGCAAAGAUGAACAAGGAGAAAGUGGAUUUAUUUAGAAAGUACAGAACAGGGUGGAGGAGAUAUUUAGUUUUGAGGAGGGGGAGGAGGAGGAGGAGGAGGGUGGGGGUUUAAGCUACUGGUGUAGCAUUUCUGGAGAAACAGCAGCUGCAAAGGGGACAGCUGGGUGGCCGGCUCAAGGAGGACGGCCGGGGGAAAGUGCCUUCGUCUUAAAAGUUUGCUCUGAGUACAUUUCCAUCAUUUGCAUUCUCUCUGAGGAAGAUUCACCAAGGAAUGUCGAGCUGGCCUCAUUACUGGACGUUCUCCAUCAUCUUCAGAAACUCUGCAGAGAAAAAGAAGGCGACAGUCGAUCAACCAAUCCAGAAUAACUAUCGUCUUCAGUGUGUUUACAAAGCCUGCACGUGAGCUUUUGGGUUUGAGUUCAAUCGUGGAGAACACGUGAUUGUGACGCAUAAUUGUCGCACAUAAAACACUCCAUGUCUGCUCGUUUUAGCUGUAAUCAUUAUGAAAUAAGGACUAAUGUUUCUGUGUCUGCUCAUGUGCUCACAGACUCAAGUAUCAUUUUCAUCCACAUGCUAAAAUGCCUCGUGUAUUUAAACACAGAAGGAACCUGUCCGUGUGAGCCGGCUUGUGACGGUGUGAGCUGUAGUCCUCUUAAAGUCCACCAGUAUUGUUUUUGAGGUUGAUAAAAGGGGAAGUUAAUAAAGAGAGCUGUGUAAUUAUA